Molecule: ribosomal RNA, 253 nt
Filed under: uncultured bacterium
Lineage: Bacteria
Description: partial 16S ribosomal RNA
Rfam family: Bacterial small subunit ribosomal RNA
Source: RNAcentral
UACGAAGGUCCCAAGCGUUAUCCGGAUUCAUUGGGUUUAAAGGGUGCGUAGGUGGAAUGAUAAGUCAGUGGUGAAAUCUUGCAGCUUAACUGUAAAACUGCCAUUGAUACUGUCAUUCUUGAGUAUAGUUGAUGUGGGCGGAAUAUGUCAUGUAGCGGUGAAAUGCUUAGAUAUGACAUAGAACACCGAUUGCGAAGGCAGCUCACAAAGCUACCACUGACACUGAGGCACGAAAGCGUGGGGAUCAAACAGG